RNAcentral lists this transfer-messenger RNA (179 nucleotides) under Microbacterium sp. 14-71-5. Its description in RNAcentral is "partial transfer-messenger RNA". It matches the Rfam family "transfer-messenger RNA", at positions 1 to 185 of the family's 374-position model. Rfam says of the family: Bacterial tmRNA, also known as 10Sa RNA or SsrA, is named for its dual tRNA and mRNA-like properties. Its role is to liberate the mRNA from a stalled ribosome. Lineage: Bacteria; Bacillati; Actinomycetota; Actinomycetes; Micrococcales; Microbacteriaceae. The record is from RNAcentral.
GGGGCUGAUCGGUUUCGACAGCGCCUGUGAAUCCACGAGAAGCGGGCCGAGGAUGCAGGGUUAUCUCGUGAACGCUCCCUGCAAAACAAUAAGUGCCAAUGCAAAGCGCACUGACUUCGCCCUCGCUGCGUAAGCGAGCCCGAUAGUCCGUCAGGCCGUAUGUGAUUCCGAUACGGAUC